GGAGAAUGGUGUAAGCUUGCAGUGAGCAGAGAUGGGCUUACUGCACUCCAGCCUGGGUGACAGAGCAAGACUCCGUCUCAAAAAAAGAAAAAGAAGAAUGUAUUUUUUACAACACAAUCAAAUCAAUGCCUUAAAACUAGGCUGUCAUCACAUUUUUCCCCCCGUUUUACAUACUUAAAUUGGCUAAAUCAAGAAUAGGGGCUGGCUCUCAGUCCCUACCUCGUGGGGGGUGCCUCCCCUCCCUGCGAUGGGGGUCCUAAGAGCCUGGGGCGGAAGAGGGGCUGGCUCUCAGCCACCACAAAAUGGGGAGCCUUUAUGUUCAGGUUUUGCCCAAGAGUCAGCUUAUUUGCUUCUGGUACUAGCAGGGCAGUUGAUGCCGUGGCCUUCAAACAUGGGGGCCAUCCUUUAGAAACCCUUUCUAUUUGUUUAGACACGUAGGCCACCGGCCUCAGCCAGGGCCCCAGAGUUUCGGUUAAAAUUCCAGCUGCCAUCUUUUCUCUAUCUGACGCAUUCAAUGGAAAAGGCUUUGUCAGAUCUGGUAGCCCCGGGGCUGGGGCUGCCAGAAGUUUUUCCUUUAACUCAUGAAAGACUUGCUGUUGUUGGGAUCCCCAUUCUAAAGGUUCCCGGUCCCCGCCCCCUUUGUGACCUCAUACAAAGACUUGGCUAAUACUGCAAAGUUUGGGAUGCACAGUCUACAAAACCCCACAGCCCCUAAGAAUUCCCUCACCUGCCUUCUGCCCUUAGGCUCCGGUAGAUUGCAAAUGACCUGCUUUCUUUCUGUUCCCGGGCGUUUGGACCCCUGUCUUGGACCGCUGUCGGAUAGUAAAUCCCAAGUAAGGUACCUGCCGUCGGCAGAUUUGAGCUUUCUUCUUGGACACCUAAUACCCAGAGUCCUCCAGGCUCCGGUAGAUUGCAAAUGACCUGCUUUCUUUCUGUUCCCGGGCGGCAUCGGACCCGUCGGAGAGUAAAUCCCAAGUAAGGUACCUGCCGUUGGCAGAUUUGAGCUUUCUUCUUGGACACCUAAUACCCACAGUCCUCCAGGUGAGUCCUAAGUAUCUUAGGAUCCGCGAUGGGGGUCCUAAGGCAGGGGGGGAAGAGGGGAUGGCUGUCACCCAACCCAAAAUGGGCGGCCUUUAUGUUCAGGUUUUGCCCAAGAGUCAGCUUAUUUGCUUCUUGUACUAUCAGGGCAGUUGAUGCCACGGCCCUCAAACAGGGGGGCCAUCCUUUAGAAACCCUCUCUAGUUGUUUAGAGACGUAGGACAUUGGCCUCAUCCAGGGCCCCAGAGUUUCGGUUAAAAGUCCAGCUGCCAUCUUUUCUCUAUCUGACGCGUUCAACGGAAAAGGCUUUGUCAGAUCGGGUAGCCCCAGGGCUGGGGCUGCCAGAAGUUUUUCCUUUAACUCAUGAAAGACUUGCUGUUGUUGGGAUCCCUAUUCCAAAGGUUCCCGGUCCCUGCCCCCUUUGUGACCUCAUACAAAGACUUGGCUAAUACUGCAAAGUUUGGGAUGCACAGUCUACAAAACCCCACAGCCCCUGAGAAUUCCCUCACCUGCCUUCUGCCCUUAGGCUCCGGUAGAUUGCAAAUGACCUGCUUUCUUUCUGUUCCCGGGUGGCAUCGACCCGUCGGAGAGUAAAUCCCAAGUAAGGUACCUGCCGUUGGCAGAUUUGAGCUUUCUUCUUGGACACCUAAUACCCACAGUCCUCCAGUAAAUCCCAAGCAAGGUACCUGCCGUCAGCAGAUUUGAGCUUUCUUCUUGGACACCUAAUACCCACAGUCCUCCAAGCUCCGGUAGAUUGCAAAUGACCUGCUUUCUUUCUGUUCCCGGGCUGCGUUCGGACCCCUGUCGGAUAGUAACUCCCAAGUAAGGUACCUGCCGUCGGCAGAUUGGAGCUUUCUUCUUGGAGACCUAAUACCCACAGUCCUCCAGAAAAACAAACAAAGACAUGGAUUUACUGUGCAUAUUAGCAGAUCCAUACUGGAAAAUGCAUGGAGGUUUCAUAUACACCACUUACAGGUUUCCAAAGCCACAAUUUCCUUCAUAUGUUCAAACUCUUCAGGAUGCAGAAAGGCAGUGAACUCCUCCGGAGUAGCUGUCAGGUCACCAUUGAGGUCUGCAGCUUUGAAUCUUCUCUCAUCACGUGGCAGCAUCUUUUUAAAGGUGUGAUGAUCUGAAGAAUCAUGAAACUCUGCGGGGUUUCCUAGGUUUUCAGCUCCUCAGUAGUGACAAAGCCAUACCCAUCAUUGUCGAUUCGAUCAACAAUCUUCCCUAGCCUCUCCUUGCUCUCGUCCGGGGUGAGCUCGUCGAAGUUCUUGGAGUCCUCCUUGCCCAGGAAGGCCUCGUGGUCGUACUGGAAGCUCUGGUUGUCCUCAGGGGGCCGCUCGCCCAGCUCCGAGUCGGGCCGCACCACGCGCUCUUUGCGCACCGUGGGCUUGGCCCGCAGAACCCGCGGCGCCAGCACCAGCGCCAGCAGCAGCCCCAGGGCUAACCCCAGGCGGCCACCGCGCGCCAUCGUCCCGAGGAGAGGGCGGCCGGGAGGGAGACGCUGAGCGAGCGACAACAGCGGCAGCUCGGGAAUGGGGGCUCGGAGCGCGGCGGCCAAGUUUUAUGUUAUGUAUAUUUUACAAGUAAAAAAAUUUUUUCACCUCAGCCUGAACUGAACACUAGCUGACAGACGUUUUGAUUUCUUUGACCAUCACGGAAUCGUGGCCAAGCGCGGUGGCUCACAUCUGUAAUCCCAACACUUUGGGAGGUCAAGAUGGGCGGAUUGCUUGAAUCCAGGUGUUUGAGAUCAGCCUGGGCAACAUGACAAAACCCUGUUUCUAGUAAAAAUACAAAAAUUAACCAGGCUCAAGCCAU
RNAcentral lists this long non-coding RNA (2856 nucleotides) under Homo sapiens (human). RNAcentral describes it as "TPT1 antisense RNA 1". The record is from RNAcentral. Lineage: Eukaryota; Metazoa; Chordata; Mammalia; Primates; Hominidae.